Molecule: long non-coding RNA, 297 nt
Organism: Telopea speciosissima
Lineage: Eukaryota; Viridiplantae; Streptophyta; Magnoliopsida; Proteales; Proteaceae
Exons: 2
Source: RefSeq, a predicted model, not a curated record
UGCCUCCAAUCAGCUCUAUUCGAGGUCUCUAUCCUUGAAUUACAUACUUGAAAUUUGUCACAUGGACGACCAGUGGUUUUACUUUCAUGUGAGCAAGUUUUUUUUUCAUUGAAAGGAGGCAUUGUCUAUUGGAGUACACAGAGCUCUAGAUCACUCCCAAUUUGAUUCUGUUCGGCAAAGCUGAGAAGUGUCACAAGUCUUACCGCAAGUGGUGCCAUCCAUUACUUCUGAUGAUGCAAGAAAACUCUUCUACGAAUCACGUCAGAAUGGUGUGGCUGUUGUUAUAGUUGCUGUGAA